UACGCUGUUAUCCCUAAAGUAACUUACUCUUCUAAUUCUUAGUAAAGGACCAGUUAAACUACAUAUUGUUAUUCUAUUUAUCCAACAGGUACUAAUAUGUUAUAUCUUUGGCGCCCCAACAGCUACGAAUUAGACAUAAUUUUUAUCUCAACCCUAAGAAUAUCUCUAUGACUGUGAAGUUUUAUAGGGUCUUAUCGUCCAUUAAUAGCAUUUAAGCCUUUUCACUUAGAAGUGAAAUUUGAAAUUUAUUAAAAAGACAGCCCACUUCUUGUCCGAACAUUCAUUCCAUCCCACAAUUUAAAG
Molecule: ribosomal RNA, 303 nt
Filed under: Plesionika hsuehyui
Lineage: Eukaryota; Metazoa; Arthropoda; Malacostraca; Decapoda; Pandalidae
Description: partial 16S ribosomal RNA
Source: RNAcentral